AACGAACGCUGGCGGCAUGCCUAACACAUGCAAGUCGAACGAGACCUUCGGGUCUAGUGGCGCACGGGUGCGUAACGCGUGGGAACCUGCCCUUAGGUUCGGAAUAACUCCCCGAAAGGGGUGCUCAUACCGGAUAAUGUCUUCGGCCCAAAGAUUUAUCGCCUUUGGAUGGGCCCGCGUUUGAUUAGCUAGUUGGUAGGGUAAAAGCCUACCAAGGCGACGAUCCAUAGCUGGUCUGAGAGGAUGAUCAGCCACACUGGGACUGAGACACGGCCCAGACUCCUACGGGAGGCAGCAGUGGGGAAUAUUGGACAAUGGGCGAAAGCCUGAUCCAGCAAUGCCGCGUGAGUGAUGAAGGCCUUAGGGUUGUAAAGCUCUUUUACCCGGGAUGAUAAUGACAGUACCGGGAGAAUAAGCUCCGGCUAACUCCGUG
This 433-nucleotide ribosomal RNA is filed under the name uncultured bacterium. Its description in RNAcentral is "partial 16S ribosomal RNA". It matches the Rfam family "Bacterial small subunit ribosomal RNA", at positions 29 to 507 of the family's 1533-position model. The record is from RNAcentral.